GGGAGGGGGAGAUGGAAUUAGUGGUGUAGGGGUAAAAUCCGUAGAUAUCACUAGGAAUACCGAAAGCGAAGGCGAUCUCCUGGAACAUAACUGACGCUAAGGCGUGAAAGCGUGGGGAGCAAACAGGAUUAGAUACCCUGGUAGUCCACGCCCUAAACGAUGAACACUAGUCGUCGGGAUGCUAGUCAUCUCGGUGAUGCACUUAACAGAUUAAGUGUUCCGCCUGGGGAGUACGGUCGCAAGAUUAAAACUCAAAGGAAUAGACGGGGACCCGCACAAGUGGUGGAGCAUGUGGUUUAAUUCGAAGAUACGCGAAGAACCUUACCUAGCCUUGACAUUGAUUGAACACACUAGAGAUAGAGUGGUGCCCUUCGGGGAACAUGAAAACAGGUGCUGCACGGCUGUCGUCAGCUCGUGUCGUGAGAUGUUGGGUUAAGUCCCGCAACGAGCGCAACCCUCGUCCUUAGUUGCUAGCAGUUCGGCUGAGCACUCUAAGGAGACUGCCUUCGUAAGGAGGAGGAAGGUGAGGACGACGUCAAGUCAUCAUGGCCCUUAUGGCUAGGGCUACACACGUGCUACAAUGGGGCGUACAGAGUGUUGCGAUACCGCGAGGUGGAGCUAAUCACUUAAAGCGUCUCUCAGUUCGGAUUGGAGUCUGCAACUCGACUCCAUGAAGCUGGAAUCACUAGUAAUCGUAGAUCAGCAAUGCUACGGUGAAUACGU
RNAcentral lists this ribosomal RNA (723 nucleotides) under uncultured bacterium. Its description in RNAcentral is "bacterial SSU rRNA". It matches the Rfam family "Bacterial small subunit ribosomal RNA", at positions 650 to 1371 of the family's 1533-position model. The record is from RNAcentral.